AUUGGACGCUGGCGGCAUGCUUUACACAUGCAAGUCGGACGGCAGCACAGAGAAGCUUGCUUCUUGGGUGGCGAGUGGCGAACGGGUGAGUAAUAUAUCGGAACGUACCGAGUAAUGGGGGAUAACUAAUCGAAAGAUUAGCUAAUACCGCAUAUUCUCUGAGGAGGAAAGCAGGGGACCUUCGGGCCUUGCGUUAUUCGAGCGGCCGAUAUCUGAUUAGCUAGUUGGUGGGGUAAAGGCCUACCAAGGCGACGAUCAGUAGCGGGUCUGAGAGGAUGAUCCGCCACACUGGGACUGAGACACGGCCCAGACUCCUACGGGAGGCAGCAGUGGGGAAUUUUGGACAAUGGGCGCAAGCCUGAUCCAGCCAUGCCGCGUGUCUGAAGAAGGCCUUCGGGUUGUAAAGGACUUUUGUCAGGGAAGAAAAGGCUGUUGCUAAUAUCGACAGCUGAUGACGGUACCUGAAGAAUAAGCACCGGCUAACUACGUG
RNAcentral lists this ribosomal RNA (490 nucleotides) under uncultured bacterium. Its description in RNAcentral is "partial 16S ribosomal RNA". It matches the Rfam family "Bacterial small subunit ribosomal RNA", at positions 30 to 507 of the family's 1533-position model. The record is from RNAcentral.